RNAcentral lists this ribosomal RNA (662 nucleotides) under uncultured bacterium. RNAcentral's name for it is "bacterial SSU rRNA". It matches the Rfam family "Bacterial small subunit ribosomal RNA", at positions 139 to 788 of the family's 1533-position model. The record is from RNAcentral.
GGGGAUAACACUUGGAAACAGGUGCUAAUACCGUAUAACACUAUUUUCCGCAUGGAAGAAAGUUGAAAGGCGCUUUUGCGUCACUGAUGGAUGGACCCGCGGUGCAUUAGCUAGUUGGUGAGGUAACGGCUCACCAAGGCCACGAUGCAUAGCCGACCUGAGAGGGUGAUCGGCCACACUGGGACCGAGACACGGCCCAGACUCCUACGGGAGGCAGCAGUAGGGAAUCUUCGGCAAUGGACGAAAGUCUGACCGAGCAACGCCGCGUGAGUGAAGAAGGUUUUCGGAUCGUAAAACUCUGUUGUUAGAGAAGAACAAGGAUGAGAGUAGAACGUUCAUCCCUUGACGGUAUCUAACCAGAAAGCCACGGCUAACUACGUGCCAGCAGCCGCGGUAAUACGUAGGUGGCAAGCGUUGUCCGGAUUUAUUGGGCGUAAAGCGAGCGCAGGCGGUCUCUUAAGUCUGAUGUGAAAGCCCCCGGCUCAACCGGGGAGGGUCAUUGGAAACUGGGAGACUUGAGUGCAGAAGAGGAGAGUGGAAUUCCAUGUGUAGCGGUGAAAUGCGUAGAUAUAUGGAGGAACACCAGUGGCGAAGGCGGCUCUCUGGUCUGUAACUGACGCUGAGGCUCGAAAGCGUGGGGAGCGAACAGGAUUAGAUACCCU